Molecule: long non-coding RNA, 212 nt
Filed under: Mytilus galloprovincialis (Mediterranean mussel)
Lineage: Eukaryota; Metazoa; Mollusca; Bivalvia; Mytilida; Mytilidae
Source: RNAcentral
GGCGGUAAGCAAAUCCAGCAACAUUUUUACAUCCAGAAUUUUAAAAUGAAUGUACACAAGUGUAGAAGUGACUGGUUGAAAAAUUAUUUGCAGUAGAAUACUGUUUUUUGUCUAUGAUAGCGGAUAUCCGCAGAAUGUUGUAAGUUAUUUAAUGUAAUGAUCAAUCAUUGUAGAUCAUAACUUAACUUAGAAAACAUGAAAGUGAAGGUAAA